This 2471-nucleotide long non-coding RNA is filed under the name Mus musculus (house mouse). RNAcentral describes it as "long non-coding RNA chr6:8991771-8994242". Lineage: Eukaryota; Metazoa; Chordata; Mammalia; Rodentia; Muridae. The record is from RNAcentral.
AGAAUAUGUAUCAUUGGAAUUUCUGAAGAAGUAACUAAGAGAGCAGAAGAAAAUCGUAAUAGUAGAAAUUAAAAAAAAAAAUUCCCAAGGAAACAGAAAACCAGAGAGUCUUGAAAUACAUAUUGAGACAUGCAGACCAGAGUGACAAUCAGGAACAACUGAUGCCAAGAUAUGUUCCAGUAAAUCCUGGUGAAAAAAAAAAAAAAAAAAAAAGAAAGAACUCCAUUUGCACAGCUUAAUAAAACAGGAAGUGAGUUAUAAGGAAAAAAUAAUUAGAUUUUUAUCAUACUUUUUUGAUGGCAAUUAUUUAUGCCAGAAGAAAAUGGAGUAAUAUAUUUAAGCAACUCAAAGAAAGAAAAUAUGACUCAAAGAUUUUUGGAACUAGAUAAAAUUACUUUUGAGCAUAUGGGCACAGAUUAUUUGCAACACACCCUAGGCCAUAGAGUGCAGUCCCCAGAUUUUCCUGAGGAGAGCUACUAGAGAACAAAGCUCUUGUAGUGAAAACAUUUAGAGAGAGAAGGGCAUAAGGAUGCUUGGUGAUCACUGAGAAUGAAGGUAUUUGAAGAACAAACCUUAAAUAUGGGUCAAAAAGAAGAAUGUCUCCUUAAACCAACAUAUUACAAUGUAUAUAUGUAAUAAGCAUAAAGAUGAGGAUGCAAUCAAGGCAAGGAUAUUAAAAUAAAGCCUCCAUAUUAUUUCUAUCAUUUGCAUGGAUGGCAAUAGCUUUGUUCUUCGUUGGACAUGUAAUUUGCAGGAAAAGUAAUUGAGUGACUGUGUGAUUUCUUUUCUGUUCAUAUGUCAUCCAACAUUGGAACUUCUGUGUAGAAGAAAAAAAGACAUAGAUACUUUAUUUAAGGAAUAGAAUAAAAGAUCUGUUCUUCUAUUUUUAAGAGGGGAGGAAUUGAAUGGACUUGUGACAUAUUUUACAUGGACAAAUAUAUGCCCAUGUCUAAUCUCUUCUUAUUGAAGAAGCCUACAAACAAUACUCUACCUAGCAUCCAAGGACACACCUAUAACCUAGGUAGUAGUGAUGUUGAAAUAAUGUUUCUACUAAAAGAAACCAGGGGGAAGGAAAUAUAGAAAAUGAAUCCAGGACACCAUGUUGAAACUCUAACCCAGGAAACUGUAGGCACCUACUGGAGUGAAGUGACAAUCCCAGGAACAAACAUUAAGUAUCUUUUAAAAAAUAUAAUGAAUACUCAUAUUUAUUUAAGUACUUUCUCAAUAGGAAGUUUAUUGGUACAAUUUAAACUUAAAACUCUUUGUAGCUUCAAUGGAAUCCAAUUCAUAAAUUUAGUUUGAAUGCAUGAAUUCCCAAUUCUACAGUCAUACCACUGAGAACUUUGUAUCAAUAGAUUGAACUAAUUUUGAAUUGAAAAUAUUUUAAAAACUGUGUCUCUAUGAUACAUACGAAGGGCUUUUAAAAUCAUAAUUCCAUAAACAAUGUAUUAUAACAACCACUUACAUGACAUUUAUAUUGUAUUAGGUAUCAUACAUAACCUAGAAAUGAAUUAACCUGUGUAUAGGUUAUAUGCAAAUUCUAUGUCUUUUUAUUAAAAAAAAAAAAAACGUGUCUAUCCAUGGAUUUUGGUCCCCAAGGGUGUUCCUGGAACAAUAUCCUAUGGAUAACAAGAGAUGGCUUGUUUCAAAAGCCUGGUUACAGUCAUUAAAUUAUGUGGAAUCAAUUCGUUACCUUAGAGAUAGAUAAAGCAAAAGAAUCAAAUAUUGAUCCCAUAUUUCCACUAUGAAUUACAAAAUUUGAAAAUCAUGUAGUAAAUGAGAGGAAGCUUCUUUCUUAUAAAAAUAAGGUGCUUGCCGGGUGGUGGUGGCGCACGCCUUAAUCCCAGCACUCGGGAGGCAGAGGCAGGUGGAUUUCUGAGUUCCAGGCCAGCCUGGUCUACAAGUGAGUUCCAGGACAUCCAGGGCUAUACAGAGAAAACCCUAUCUCGGAAAAAAAAGCAUGUAAAAAUAAGAUGCUUAAUUAAUGAACAGAAAAUAAUUGAUAAAAUGAAACUAUCAUAAUUUUAUAAACUUCAAAUGAACUACAAAAUCUAGGUAUCUUAAAUACAUCAUCAACUGCUAACAUGGAAAGAAAUAUAUUCAGAUAUUGUGUGGUUUUGAAUGCUUGGUUGACAACAAUUAGCAUCUUUGCAAAGAGACAGACCCAGACUCACAAAGCCUCUGGAUCUAGUGGUUUGGCUGUAGCCAAUUUUGAGAGCAAAGUAAUGAAAUAAAUUGUACCAUGUCAGUCUGUAACAUAUGGAUGAUGAAAACAUGUAUAUAGUUCAACUGUCCAAGUCCCUUAACCAAAUGCAUUGUAAGAGGGAGGAGCAAAAAUCCCUGUGGAUUAAAAGGUUGGGCAUAUUGGUACAUAUGUACGAUCUUAGCACUUGGGAAGCUGGAGGCAGCAAAGUCUCAGAUGCAAGGCCGUCCCAUACACCAUAGCAUGGACCUGUCUCAAAUAACAAAAU